GACGAACGCUGGCGGCGUGCUUAACACAUGCAAGUCGAACGGAAAGGCCCUGCUUUUGUGGGGUGCUCGAGUGGCGAACGGGUGAGUAACACGUGAGUAACCUGCCCUUGACUUUGGGAUAACUUCAGGAAACUGGGGCUAAUACCGGAUAGGAGCUCCUGCUGCAUGGUGGGGGUUGGAAAGUUUCGGCGGUUGGGGAUGGACUCGCGGCUUAUCAGCUUGUUGGUGGGGUAGUGGCUUACCAAGGCUUUGACGGGUAGCCGGCCUGAGAGGGUUAACGGCCACCAUGGUACUGAGGUACGGCGCAGACUGCUACGGGAGGCAGCAGUGGGGAAUAUGGCACAGUGGGCGGAAGCCUGAUGCAGAAACGCCGCGUGCGGGAUGACGGCCUUCGGGUUGUAAACCGCUUUCGCCUGUGACGAAGCGUGAGUGACGGUAAUGGGUAAAGAAGCACCGGCUAACUACGUG
Molecule: ribosomal RNA, 468 nt
Filed under: uncultured bacterium
Lineage: Bacteria
Description: partial 16S ribosomal RNA
Rfam family: Bacterial small subunit ribosomal RNA
Source: RNAcentral